Molecule: ribosomal RNA, 696 nt
Filed under: uncultured archaeon
Lineage: Archaea
Description: bacterial SSU rRNA
Rfam family: Archaeal small subunit ribosomal RNA
Source: RNAcentral
UUCCGGUUGAUCCCGCCGGAGGUUACUGCUAUCGAGGUUCGACUAAGCCAUGCGAGUCGAAUGUAGCAAUACAUGGCGAACUGCUCAGUAACACGUGGACAACCUGCCCUUAGGACGGGGAUAAACCCGGGAAACUGGGUAUAAUACCCGAUAGGUCUCGAUUGCUGGAAUGCAUCGAGAUUUAAAGCUCCGGCGCCUAAGGAUGGGUCUGCGGCCUAUCAGGUAGUAGUGGGUGUAGCGUACCUACUAGCCUACGACGGGUACGGGUUGUGAGAGCAAGAGCCCGGAGAUGGAUUCUGAGACACGAAUCCAGGCCCUACGGGGUGCAGCAGGCGCGAAAACUUUACAAUGCUGGCAACAGCGAUAAGGGAACCUCGAGUGCCAGGUUACAAAUCUGGCUGUCGAGAUGCCUAAAAAGCAUUUCAUAGCAAGGGCCGGGCAAGACCGGUGCCAGCCGCCGCGGUAACACCGGCGGCUCGAGUGGUAACCGUUAUUAUUGGGUCUAAAGGGUCUGUAGCCGGCCGGAUAAGUCUCUUGAGAAAUCUGGCAGCUUAACUGUCAGGCUUUCAGGAGAUACUGUCUGGCUCGAGGCCGGGAGAGGUGAGAGGUACUUCAGGGGUAGGGGUGAAAUCUUGUAAUCCUUGAAGGACCACCAGUGGCGAAGGCGUCUCACCAGAACGGACCUGACGGCAAGGG